This is a non-coding RNA of Ictidomys tridecemlineatus (thirteen-lined ground squirrel), 1572 nucleotides long. Lineage: Eukaryota; Metazoa; Chordata; Mammalia; Rodentia; Sciuridae. The record is from RefSeq and is a predicted model, not a curated record.
CUUCCGGGAGUGCCGGAAGUGUCGUUCCUCGAGUCAUGUGUCCCAAUGCGACCAAUCCUUCGCGACCCCGUUGCCAGGCAACGCCGGGGCGUCCGCCCAGCCGGACCCGGGCUUCCGGAUCGCGCUCGGACCCGGGAUGGGAAGUGAUGGCCAAGGGCUUCUGUUGAGUUGAUGACAUCACGUUGAGAGAGAGAAAAGGGUGAACGCGACAACCAAGGACGCCAACGCUGAAAGCUUAGGAGGGAAGGAUACAAAUUUCCACGUACUCGCGCUUUUCAGUUCCACCGCCCUCUUCCGGAGGUUGGUGAAGCGUGCGCCUCCGCCUUUGCACAGGUGACUACAGCUAGCCCGAAAGGCAGCGGAGGAGCCCGGGGUCUCAGGACCACCCAGCUCUUCAAUUCCUGAUCCAGCGAAUGGGAGCAUUCGUCCCUCGGAGAUGGUAAGCUUUCCUCGUGGGCUUUUACCUCACUUGCAAGGACAAGGCCUUUUAUUGUCACCUGAGACUUAUACCCUGUGGACCUUGAUCCAUUAUUCAGCACACAGGGCACAGGUAUAGAUCCCGUCAGCUUCCACACUGUCGUCCUGUCCUGUUUGCCUUUUGCCUUUCUCGCUUAUUUACAAGGUAUCUAUUGAGACAUUUUUUCAAAUACUUAAAAUAAAUUAGCCUAUCCUGUGGCUUUGGCAUUCACCUUAACCUGCAAGUGAGUUUUUUUUUUUUUUCCCAUCAUUUACUGAAUUCAAGUGGCUUCUAAUUUUCUCUUCUGAAAUAUAUAUUUAUCCUCUCCCCAUAUCUCGGCCUCCCUUUCUCUUCUGGAAACAUUAACAACUAAAAUUUUGUGGCUGAAUGUGUUUUCCAGCAGAGACCCUCAGUCGCUGCAGCAACCCUCAGCCCCACCCAGCAGGUUCCUGGCUCCACCAGCCUGGAGUGCCACAACUACAGUCUUCCAUCCUAAGAGGCACAAAGGAGUGCUGUUCUGCAGUCUGGGUAGUUCAUCCAUUCAAGGGAAAGCAGAUGCUGAGAAGAGGCUCACAUCACUUUGUCUUCACCCCGGCCCACACUUCACUUGAGAAAAGUAUGGCUGAGAAGUUAUUGGCUUGCCCAAGGCCAAACAAGCAAAAGAGGAGGUUCAAGGCCAGAUUCUCAGUACUUUUCUGGUAUCUCUCAGCAGCAGCAAGGCAAGGCUGACUGAGAAGGGAAGUUAACCAGGAAGAAAUUAAGGAUUAAAGACAUGUUCCCAUAUAAACGCACAAGUGGAUGCGUUCAGGACAGAGAUGUUGCCCUGACACAUUCACAAAGGAACUGUGCUGAGUCACACCAGCCCUUGGGCUGAGCUGCUCUAAGCUACUGUGCCUUACAAGUCCUUUCCACAGUCCCUGUGACUUGGAGGUGGGGUGUUGCCAUAAAGGUUGGGCACUACCCAAGCCCUCUGUAACAGUAAGAGGCAGGCCAUUUCCUCAGGUGCAGACAUCUAUCUCCUCACCUAUCUCGGAUUCAAUUCCUCCUAACCAGGUCUGGUCUAAACUUUCCAGAAGUCAAGAAAUUAAACGAGAGAUAACACUCUCUUACAUUAA